UUUCUCUCAAAUUUUCUGCACUUCCUCCUCUUUUCUUCCUCUCCAUUUUGGCUCAAAUAAUCAACAAAAAGACAAGGAAAAAUCAUAUUAAACUUUAAUAAUAAAAAGGGUUUUUGAAAGGCUUAAACAAGGGUUGAUUCAAGUAAGAUUUAAGGGUUAUUUUAAGCUUGAAAUAAGGGUUAUUUGGAGCAUCAAAGCCACGAAAUUUCUGCCAUAUUUUCUUCAUCAAAACCGUGCUCUUCAAGGGGAUAGUCUUGGCUUUCAAAUGUGAUUGAGAAACGUGAUGGAUGUAUGAUGGAGUGAUUGAUGGGAAAUACCCAUUUUGGAUAAGUGAAUAUAAUAUGCGGCAUAUCAAGGAAAUAAGUUUAAGCAUUGAGGAUUUAUAUGCUUCAUGAU
Long non-coding RNA from Erigeron canadensis, 396 nucleotides. RefSeq lists it as uncharacterized. The record is from RefSeq and is a predicted model, not a curated record. The transcript is spliced from 3 exons. Lineage: Eukaryota; Viridiplantae; Streptophyta; Magnoliopsida; Asterales; Asteraceae.